UUUUUUUUUUUUUUUUUUUUUUUUGAGACAGGGCCUCUCUCUCUGUCACCCAGACUGCGGAGCAGUGGCGCAAUCACGGCUUACUGCAGCCUUCACCUUUUGGAUUCAAGCGAUCCUGUGCCUCAGAUUCCUGAGUAGCUGGGAUUACAGGUGCACACCAACACAUCUGGCCAAUUUUUUAUUUUUAUUUUUGUAGAGACAGUUUCCAGGCUGGUUUCAAACUCCUGGGCUCAAGCGAUCCUCCCACCUCAGCCUCCCAAAAUGCUGGGAUUUCAGGCACAAGCCACUGCACUCAGCCCCUAUUUGCAUCUUAAAGCAGUCACUCCAGCAUCACUGUGGAAUGCAGGGAGGGAGAAGGGAAUUGGAUGGUUGGUUCAAAAUGAGAAAUGAUAAAGGUCUAAGGUGACAUCUGAAGGGAAUAAAGGAGGGGACAGAGGAAUGUAAGUGAACUGAGCAGAACGAGGGCAGAGUGGCAGGGGACAGAAUGGCAGAAGCCACCCAGCCGGGGGUGGGGGCAUGGGAGGGAAAGGAGGAUCACCUGGAAGAUGUGAGGGGGCCAGGGAGUGAGGAGAGAAAGAGGAAAGUGAAAUUAUGCUUUAUAAAGAAUGAGUCAUACAUUCACUCAUGAUAGAGCAUUUACUGUGUCGCAGACACUGGGCUAGACCCUGGCAAUACAUUCAUGAGGGAAACAGACACUGCCCCUGCCCUGGAGGUUUGCACCCUAGUGGAGAGGCAGCUGGUAUUUGGGGUGGGAGGCUCCUGUGCUGGGCCUGGGAAGCCCAGAAGUGGGUAUUUAAGCUGAGAGAGCAAGGAUGAGAAGCAGCAUCCAGUGAAGAAAGCUGGGAAGACUAUUCCCAGCAGAAGGAACACUAUGGGGAAAGGUCCUUCAGGGAAUGGAGAAGCAGCCAGGCUUGCUGGAUUUGUUGCAGGAGGAUCCUAUGUGCUUUAAGGACAGUGGUCAGUGCUUUGGGUUUGAUUCUAUGCAGCAAGGGAAGCCACUAGAGGGUUUAGGGGCAGGAGAGAACCAUGACCAGAUGUGACCUAUGAAAAGAUCACUUUGGACGCUUGCAGAGAUGGGGUGCAGUCCAGGUGGGGGCCGUGCAGAUGCAGAGAGCUGCUCAGAUGUGACACAAGUCUCAGAAGCAGAAAUGCUGAUGAAUUGGCUGCAGGUGCGAGGCAGAGAAGACUCACGUGCUUUCCUGGGUUUCUGGCAUGAACAACUGGGGGGAUUUCAGAAGCAUCAUCAGAGCUGGGGAAGCCAGGUGCAGGGAGGGACAGGAAGUCACAUGCUGUGUUUUGAACUGUACCUUGGAGAGAGGGAGCCUGAGAGGCAUCCAGCCAGCAGAUGAAUGCACGCAUGAGCCUGGAGAUUGCCAAAGUCGGCCUGGAGUCACAGAGGUGGAAGCCACAGGUGGGCACACACAGACCACAGAUCUGAAGCCUUGCAGGAAGACUGGGAGAUGGAGAGGAGACGCACAGGAGACUGAGCCCGGGCACAACAGUGCUCGGCUGUGAGGUGGAGGAGGCUAAGGUGAGAGGCCACAGGAGGGUGAGGUUGCCUGGGUGACAGGAGAGGAGAGAGCCUUGAGAAGAGGCCACCAGUUCUGUCACCUGCUGCUGAGGG
Long non-coding RNA from Macaca fascicularis (crab-eating macaque), 1624 nucleotides. Lineage: Eukaryota; Metazoa; Chordata; Mammalia; Primates; Cercopithecidae. The record is from Ensembl.